Long non-coding RNA from Xyrauchen texanus (razorback sucker), 1642 nucleotides. RefSeq lists it as uncharacterized. Lineage: Eukaryota; Metazoa; Chordata; Actinopteri; Cypriniformes; Catostomidae. The record is from RefSeq and is a predicted model, not a curated record. The transcript is spliced from 3 exons.
CUCCACACGAUGUUUGUCGCUACUGCCCGCAUCACUCUCCUCACACAAUCCCCUGGAUUUGCCCCACCAAUAAGGCUGAGAUGGUGAAUCUGUGAAACAUCAUGGUUUGGCAUGCAGGCAGGCUUGGUUUGGAAACUGCUCUACAAUGUCCAAUGGGUGGCUCAAGAAGGGAGACAUUUGGAUGUCCUCAGUCUCCUGACGUCUGGUCACUUCAACACAAUGUGUCAUUGGUGCGUACAGUGAGGUUGUCCACCUCUGGGUCUUCAUCUGUUUAAAGAUUUCCUCAUUUGGCUGGUUUGGAAGGACCGAGUGUCAGCAUUACAGGAAAGGCACCGAUGGCUGAAAGCUGGUGAAUGACACAAGUGUGUUUCCUCUAUAUGCAUUAAUCAGUGUCGUAGUUGAAUAGAGCAUAUACAUACUCAAUCCAACACACACACACACACACACACACACACACACACACACACACACACACACACACACACACACACACACGUGUGUGAGCACAACAGAUAAACAGGAUAUCUGACAAGGAAGAGCAGAAGGGGUUUUACUUAAUUUCUUUACCAGAGGCAGAUGAAAUACAACACAAGUACCAGAGUUUAGUUAAACAUGAACGUUUCGGAGUGUCCAUGGAAAAGUGCAAAACCAAACUAACUGGCUACUAGUUAAUCCUGUUUGACUAUGUAGGACACGUGCUGAAUAAAUUCUUAAAACUGCAAAUAAUAAGUAAGGGAUUAUGUAGAGCAAGGCGGUUGUUAUAGCGAAUUCAACCCCGACAGGCUGAUCAGGAGGAAGCGGAGGGGUCUUGAAUCAGCCUGAAGGGGUUGUAUUCACUAUAACAACUGCCUCGCUCUACAUUAUCCCGCUUAUUACAUGGCUACCUACCAAAUAAAUAAAUAAUUUGACACAAAAUAUUGAUUUAAAAAGGAGUUUGAUUUAAAAACGAUUGUAUAGCUUCUGCUAAAGAAAAUAGUCUGUUCCGUCUCUACGGUUAGAAUCCUGCGUGUCCAUGGCAGUGUUCUGCUUUGCAUGGCAACGGUGUGUUAUCCUUAGAGUAAAUUUUAUAUAGGUUUAUUACAAGCCAUGUAAUAAACCUAUAUAAAAUGUACUCUAUAUUACAAGUGACACAUUCUUUUUUUAUAGGAAUAGUGCAACCAAAAUGGAAAUUCGUUCAUUAUUUACUUCCCAUGUCACUCCAAACAUGUAUGCCUCUGUUUCAUGGAACACAACACCGUGAGAAGAUCGACAAAGCCCUUAAGAGUAAAAGCUGUAAUAAUUUAUCAGUUAAUUAUUAUUAUUAUUAUUAUUUUUUUUUAUCUUAAUUACUUUUAUUAUCUAAAUAAUUGCCAAGUGAAAUCAACAUUACAGUGUUUGCAACAUGCUUCUAAUUUAUAUACCCCUUUACUGUUAAAGCUACUCACCAAGGCUCUCUCAGUUUUAAAUGGACUUCCCAUGAGACCGGAGUUUACAGCUCUUUCUGUUGAAUGUUUUUUCUCACUCUUGUGUGCAUGAAGCUGGAACUAUUUGGCUCCAAAAUGCAGAUCUCAGCUCCUCCGCAGCCAGUUAUUUCUUUUUUUUAAUGCUGUAACACAACUUUGUUCUGUUGUUCCAUUUGUUCCUGUUUUAAUAAAACUUUUAA